This is a non-coding RNA of Gossypium arboreum, 106 nucleotides long. The record is from Rfam. NCBI's taxonomy places the organism in Eukaryota, Viridiplantae, Streptophyta, Magnoliopsida, Malvales, Malvaceae.
AACCCAUGGUGAGGGCACCUUCUCAAUAAAUCCUUAUACAUCUACCAUGCAUCAUAUAAGCUCUCUAAGUCCAUCUUACGAAGGAAGAGAUAUCAUUCCUCAAUUU